Long non-coding RNA from Lingula anatina, 378 nucleotides. NCBI's taxonomy places the organism in Eukaryota, Metazoa, Brachiopoda, Lingulata, Lingulida, Lingulidae. The record is from RefSeq and is a predicted model, not a curated record.
GCACGUUUUGUUUAUAAUAUAUAACACUGUCUGUGCCAUAAGGGUAGGUUACAUUGGGUGAGUAGCCUGCAGAGACAAAACCAGGGAUGAAGGCAAUGACAUUUCUCUGCGCCAUCUUUUUGGUAUUGGUGGUUUACUCGACCGCAGGGGAGACCGGUGGUCAGGUACAGUUGGGCCGCCUGGGUGACCAGAUAGACCGACAUAAUAUUGAACAGGAAUCAAAGGAGGCAAAGAAGAGAGCCGUCGUCGUUGGUUCUGUCAUAGCGGGUGCGUCUGGCGUGGUUGGUAUCCUGCAGUCUGUAUCCUCCCUUGUGACGUCAGACCGUGCUUGCGUCAUAGCGUUGGCCAACACUGGUAGCAAGAGCCUGGUGAAGCCGA